UGUUUCUCCUCCAAGAGAUUGUUCUGUGUCUAGAGAAGCACGUGUUCUGAUUUAAUUAGAAACCGGUGGGGCACUGGGCUGGCUGGCUAGCUGUUCUGGCCGCCCUGGAAGCCGGAGGGCUGAGUGGAAGCCAGGGAGUCUGAGCAUAUCUUUGGGGUUUUCCUGAGGUGGUGGAAUGGAGAGGAAGGCAGACACUUCUUGAAUUCCCUUCCUCUGAAGCAGAGGCAGUAGCUUCUGUGUCUUCUCCCUCUACAGCUGGAUUCUCCUGCAUUUAUACCUCCUGCUCCAUCGUGUCCUAACCAGAGCUUACAGACCUCUCUCCCCCAUGGGAUGUGGAUCCUGCGAUGCCAAUGACCAGACCUUCCCUUGUUUGUAGAGCCGGCAUCUGGCACUGUAUCUGCACAGAUUAAUUCAGAGAGACGGCUCUAAGUGGCAUUCCUUCAGUUGUGCGAGUUCCGGAGUUGGGAAGAACCUGUUCAACUCACAAGCUGGACAGGCCUUUCUCUUGGACCUGAAAGAUUUAUGACCCAAUCAUCCAGAAGCCCCACCACAAAAACCUCAUUGAGCUGGUUACACGUUAUCUUCCGAAUAUCAGCUCAGAUAAAAAGGACCGUCUGGCCCACUGACAACCAUCCAUUGGCUUCUGCACAGUGUAUUAUUGUCCAACGCUUCCUCGGGAGCUAUAAUUAGGUGAUGGUGUAAGGAGGCCACGGUGCGCGUUUGAAUAGCAACUCUAUUUGGGUCAUGAUGUCACUCACUCACUUGGGUCCCUUCUCAUCAUAUGGCCUUCACCAGAGUGUGGUUGGAAUUCAGCACACAUGAAAUCAGACCUUCACUGAGUUUUUCAUGAAGUAAUGAUAGCCCUUGGGAUGAAGAGCCUUUACAUACCUGAAAUAAUUAUGACUUAAGAGUUGAAGUUCUGGGACCCCACUUUUUAGCUCUUUAAUCUGGACAAGCCUCUUAGAGACUUCCUUUGUUCAUCUGCUAAUUAGGGUUCAUGGUACUAGUAACUUCUAUGGGUUAUAACAUAUGGUGUAUAUAUUACUUGCCUUUCCCCCAUCAUACCCAAUCAAUGACUACAUCCUGAAUGUUCCCCCUCUGAAGUAUUAAUAUCUCUCAACUCUUUCCAUGGUUCUCUGUCACCAAGCCAGGCCCAGCCACUGUCCACUCUUGGCUUAAAUCAUUGCACUAGCCUCUUCACUGCACCCACUCUUAUGUUCCUCUAAUAGACAGGCUGCUUCCACAAUCAUCUUGUGGGUCAGUCUCCUGGAACACAGCCUCCAGCUUCAAACCUUCCAGUGGUUUGAACUAAGCCAUUCUCUGAGGCUAAAGCCCCAAUUCCUCAUCUUGACUUGUAAGGUAAUGCAUGGUCUGUCCUUGUCUGUAUCGCAAAGCUCAGGUCCUGCCACGCAUCUCCCCCACUCCCACCACUGCAUCAGCAUUCCAGCCAAAUCAGCUUAUUUUCAGCCACUCAAAUACCUCAAGAACUCUCCUCUUUAAAAGCCCUCUGCACUGGUUGUUCCUUCUGCUUAGCACAUUCUCUACCCAUUCUCCACCACUUCCCUGCCUUGCCAAUUCCAGAUGUUCCUUUGAGAACCAGUUUGAAAUGUUGCUUCCUUGGGAAAUCCUCCUGAGAUGUCCCCCGCCACCUCCACCAUUAUUAUAAUCUCCUGAUAAACAGGCAUGCUCUACUUCCCAGCAUAUGUCACAACUCCAAUUAAAUAAUUACCUGGAAAGCAUUUGUUUAAAGCU
Molecule: long non-coding RNA, 1752 nt
Organism: Bubalus bubalis (water buffalo)
Lineage: Eukaryota; Metazoa; Chordata; Mammalia; Artiodactyla; Bovidae
Exons: 3
Source: RefSeq, a predicted model, not a curated record